AUCCUAGAGGAACUGGGCCUGUAGCCAUCACACAGAUGUACCCACUGAUUGGUGCUCAUGUGUGGGGUGUUUUUCUCCUUUUUUCACAGAAGACUCUGAUCUAACACCAACAGAUACAACAGCCUUAGCACUGGAGACAACCUCCAUAGAAGGGACAACAUUCACACAAUCAACAUCUCUGAGAGAGACAUCAGUGUCAGCAUCAACAGUCCUCCCGGAGGAGAAGGCAUUCCUGAGGGAGAUGGCCACAACUGAAUUAACAACCAACACAGGGGAGGUGACAUCCCCACUGCAGACAGCCACCACGGUGCCAUCAACCCCCAGAGAAGAGACACCCUUCCUACUGGAGAUGGCCACCACAGUGCCAAUGACAACCUUAGAGGUUACGACCAACACAAGGCUAAUGACCUCCCCAGGAGAGAUGUCCACUUCACCACAGUUGACAAUGUCAUCCACUGCCCCACCACUGCCUGAUACGAUCACCACAGUGAGAUCAGACACCACAGCAGAGGAGAGCAAAACAGUAAUGAGCUCCUUAGCAGAAACAUCCAGCCCAAUAUAUCCUUCCACCGCCACGUCAUCCAGUGCCACACCAGAGGUGUCCACCUCAGCAGAGAUGUCCACAUCCACAAAGAUGAUAACCUCACCAGUGAUGACCACCUCAGAGGAAACAACUGUGGGAGGAGAGUGGAGCACACUGUCAUCAGAUGUAACCCUGGUAACAGGUAACCCUGUCAUCUCUUGCUCACUGGUCUUCUUAGUGCUCCUUAAUUUUUAACUGAGUAACCCCUGGGGCAUUUCCCACUGGAGAAUUUUGGUGCCAUCCCUUGGAAGCAGCCAUGCUGACCUCUCUUGGUAAAUGUGGAGCAAAACAAGAACCUUAGUGUUUUCUAUUGCCUGCUGAGCUGAGUGUGUGCCAAGCAAAAGCCCUGUUUGCACAUAGGGAGCACAACAGGCUCUCCUGGCCUGCAGGAAACAGGUCUCUGGGAGGUGGCAAAGAGAAGAGGGAUCACAGAGCUGGGAGACUGGGAAGGGACUCAGGUCACUUUGGGCUGGUGUCUCUAUGAGAAAUAACUGGAAAGAGCUUCACCCUCUCUACCAGCAUUGGCAAUCCAGCCUUGCUUGUCAUACCAAAUGCAGUGGCCAUUGUAAGAACUACCUCCCUAGCAGAGAUGUCCAUGACACUGCAAAAGAUCAAGGAAAAAAACCAUCAUGCCAAAGACAGGCACCUCAACAGAGACAACCUCAGCAGAGACAACAAUGUCAGAAGAGAUGGCCACUACAGCAUGGAUUGCAAGGGAGGAAGGGAGCACACUAAAUAACCCUGCCCACAUUCAUUCCCUGAUCAGCGUGUGAAAGACCAAAGUCAGGAUGGUCAUUUCAGAUGUGUGAAAGAGCUCUGAAGGUUGCUGUAGGAAUCAUAGGACAGGGGAUCCUAGAAAAUGGGUACUCUCAUCUGUAUGACAUCUGCUGAAUCCCUUUGGAAGCUUUGUCAUUGACAACAAAAUCUCCCUUGCAUCCACAGCUUCAUCGCGUACCAGUGACAGUCCACAUUCCACAGGUAAUUCCAGCCCCCCAUGCCUAACCUUGCAGCAGCCAUGCAGGCUCCCUGUUGCAGUGGCCCACGUGGGCACAGCAGAGCACAGGGUUGGUGCGAGCUCGUCCUUGUGCCUUGUGCCGUGUGUCAGGAGGCAGCGUGCGGCUGGUGGGCGG
Cyanistes caeruleus (blue tit) is the source of this 1713-nucleotide long non-coding RNA. NCBI's taxonomy places the organism in Eukaryota, Metazoa, Chordata, Aves, Passeriformes, Paridae. The record is from Ensembl.